Long non-coding RNA from Triticum dicoccoides, 2393 nucleotides. RefSeq lists it as uncharacterized. The record is from RefSeq and is a predicted model, not a curated record. The transcript is spliced from 9 exons. Lineage: Eukaryota; Viridiplantae; Streptophyta; Magnoliopsida; Poales; Poaceae.
UCCACGCAACUUCCCAUCUCUCUCGUUCUUUCCACCGCCACCGCCGCUAGGGUUGCCGCCGCCGCUGCCAACGCCGCCCCAAGCCGUAUUCGCCUCGACGGGUCUCAACCUGCCAGGCGGAGCGACCCCCCGAUGCCGGUGCUCGAGGGCGAGGGAAGCUUCUAGAAGGGGGCUGAGGAGGCGUGGUUAGGCCAUUAGGGUCUGACCUGGUGACUGGUGUUGGGAGGCGGGGCCGGAUUGGGGGAGGUUUCGAGGGAGGAGGGGACGCGGAUGAGGGCCGCUGCAACGUCGGGGACAUCUUGCCGGGGACCAUUGUGUGGGUGCGGCGAAGGAACGGCUACUGGUGGCUCUGACGGGAUCUUGGGCCAAGGCGAGUUGCCGCCAUCGCUGAUCAUGUCUCCCAGGUCUGGCACGCCGGACAAGCUUCUCGGCCACGAGGACGCCAGCAUGUCCUCGCUCGCUUCACAAUCCAUACAGGAGGGGGACUGCAUACUAUAAGUGCCUCAAAAUGUUUUCUGUUGCGGCUGAUCUAGAGAUGGUCUCCACAAGAAAAAAUUGGACCAGUUGACCUUCCACGGGCAUGCAUAUCAUGAUAUAAUCAAGAGCCACAAAUUUUAGUUUUGUCUUUUUCACAUAGCUUUUAAAGAUAAACGAGGAUCUGCCUGAUGCAGAUGGCACAUGACAGAUUCUGAUUAAUUAACUAGCGCGAAGGAUUGUGGUGAAUUAGUCGGCCACCAGUGAAGCCUAGCAGGAAAAAACUAAAUGUAGACCAUUUCAUCAGAAUUUGUACAAGAAGGCGGGGAUGAGCGUAUGGCAGCAAGGGAGGCGGCUCGGCUCGGACCGGCCAUGGCGCUAGCGCUUCUGAUUCCCCACCGGCCUCCUUAGUCCCCUAGCCACAACCGGCUCCAAUCCCUCGUCUGCUAUGGUGCUGUGGGAGGAAGAGGAAGAGUAGGCAUGCUUUCUGCUGCAUCCAGCAUCCACACGUCAGAUUGACGAGCCUAAACUCUGGGCUUUGAGAAGGCUUCAAUUUUCAGAAACUGUUGCCCAGAGAGAUGUCGAUGAAGCACUACGCCUGUUGCAGAUGUCAAAGUACUUGAUCUACUUUGAUGACCGCCAGCGGUCUAGCCUUGAUGUGAUCUCUGACAUAUACUCCAUCCUGAGAGAUGAAGCAGCAAGGACUAGCAACAUGGAUGUCAAAUUUGGAGUGCACUGAGGCUCAGCUGAAGGAAUGCCCGGAGGAGUAUGCAUCCUUGAACGUGUGGCAGAUCCACCCAAGCACAUUUGACAUACAGUUCUGCGACGCCUGAUCCAGGAACAAACAUUCCAUCAUAAUCAGACGAUUGUGAUGCAUGAUUAGGGCGUCUAAUGCCAUUGUUUGGGAUCUAUUAAGUUUGAAGGACCUUAGUGAUAGCACAUGCAGAUUGAUUACAGUUUUACAGAUUUUUAUGCAUAAAUGGAAGUACAGUGGUAGACCUGAGAAGGUUUGAACAUUUAUUUCAUAAUUGGGGAAUCAAUUGUUGACCAAGUUGCUCCAUUCUAAUUCCUGCUGAUAAUUUUAUUCUUCUUACUCCCUUUUUUGGGUGUUGUUAAUGAUGUUGGUUGUUUGCAUAUUGUCUAAAGAUAUAAUCCUCACUAAGUAAUUAUUUCUGUAAGUUGCAAAUAGAAAUGUAGCACUAAAACGAUAAGGUUGUAUUAACUUCCUCUUUCUUUUCUUUUCAUCUGCUUUUGAUUCAUAUUUCGGUUAUUUGCUGUUACUAAUGAUAAGAUUUUUUUGUGUGCGUAGUUCAUUGACUCCUUAUUACAAUGAGCAUGUCCUUCUUUCCAUAAAAGAGCUUGAGGAGGUAAAUGAAGAUGGUGUUUCCACUCUGUUCUACCUACAAAAAUUUACCCAGAUGAAGGGAUGAGGUAAAUGAAGAUGGUGUUUCCACUCUGUUCUACCUACAGAAAGUUUACCCCAGUUGAGGGAAGAGGAAGAACAUUUUCUCUUUAAGCAGUCACAAAUAACAAAUUAUAUUCUGAAGCAACCUGGCAUUUACUGUGUGUGCCUAUGCUUAUGUAUGCAGAUGAAUGAGCUUCCAAGCAAGGGUUCAUUGGGAGUAAGAACUUAAAGAAAAUGAAGAACCACUGAAGGAAGAGCUUCGCCCAUGAGCUUUGGAUAAAGAGGUCAAACGGCAAUAAGAGCAUACCUCCUGUGUUGCAAUGUUCAAACCAGAAUUAGGCAUGAUUUUGGGAUUGUCCAGUGAAACUUUUCAGUUCUACCAUGUAUAUUCUUGGUGCUUGGAUUUAGUAUUAGACCUGGAGAUUCUACAUAAAUACAAAUAAUGUGUGGAUUUUCCUGUUGAAACUGCUUCUGUGUAAUAAUAUUUCUGGAAUGACAUUGUCAGUACUACAUU